Molecule: non-coding RNA, 1438 nt
Organism: Punica granatum (pomegranate)
Lineage: Eukaryota; Viridiplantae; Streptophyta; Magnoliopsida; Myrtales; Lythraceae
Source: RefSeq, a predicted model, not a curated record
GUUAUCACAAUAGAGUUGCAUUGGUUGCCGAACAUGGAUCCCCAAAUCGGCUAACUCGCUGGUGGCAUCAACCAUGGCCCGGUACUCCACCUUGACAGAAGAACGAGAAAUAGUGGUCAGUUUCUUAGUCCUCCAUGAAAUAGGGCUUCCUCCUAACAAUACAAAAUAACCUGCAAGGGACCGUCGAGUCAAAGGACACGCAGCCCAAUCUGAGUCGCACUACGCUGUCAAGUGUAAUGAGCAGGGCUGCAAAAGAAUUCCUUGGCUCGAUGCAUGUUUGAGACAGAGCAAAACUCGAAGACCUGCGUCCCAAUGAGAUUGUCGCGAACUCUGCAUAAAUUGAGAUAGUAUAUGCACCGAGUAACAGAGAUCAGGCCGAGUAAUUGUCAAGUAUAUAAGAUGUCCCACGAGCCUGCGAUACUGUCCUAGAUCAAAAAAGAGAUCACCCAAGUCCUCUGAUAACUUGAGUUGCUGCUCCAUCGGAAAUAAAACAGGUCUACAUCUGAGCAUGUUGCAUUCUUCUAGGAUGUCAAGAACAUACUUGCGCUGGUUCAAAAAGUGACCCGAAGAAGUUUUAGCAACUUCAAUCCCAGGAAAGUACUUCAGAGACCCAAGCUCAUUUAUUAACACGAGCUCUAUCUAUUUAUCUGUAAAUGAAUGAAAUGCGUUUGAUUGAUUUUACUAAUUUAUGUCUCUUUCUCUUCCUUGCACGAUGGCACGAUGGUGAAGGGGGGAAAGCUUUGUCAUGUGCUUUCAUCAUGGGCAUGCUUACAAACUUUGACAGUAUGGAUUUGGUAGAAUUCACAAUAACCUCAUGAUGCUUCCUGUGAAUCCUUGUGAAAAAUCCUUUCAACGAUUGCAAAGCUUGCUAUUUGGAGUAGUCUCUGACAGGAAGCUGGAGGUGGAGAUGGGGUCAAGGCAUGAAGGAAUAAAGAUGCAUCGAACUUGAAUGCCAAACGACUCGGGAACUGAAGUCGUAAGAUCCCCUUCUCUCUGGGUAGUCAACGAAAGAUAACCCUUUACAGAAUCCUUCUCAUCGUAGAAAAGAGAUAAACGGAAAAAGUACGAAGAUUGCUUAGGAGAAUAUUUGCAUGGAUUCUGGAUAUGCAGACAAUAAUUAAAUUCAGUCAUUCUAUGCGGAGUUCAUCCUCCGUUAGGAUGAAAAGUGAUGAGAAAGAUCUUCAGAGAAGAGCAUGUGCUCCUCCAUUGGCUACAAUUGCAGGCUUGGGUAUGAAGAUUCGAGAACGAGCCUUCUUGAACGUCGACAUAGAUGUCUCGGCACUUCUAUUUAUUGCUACUUAAGUUCAGCGAAUUCCAGGUUGUAUAAGUAUUGGGUCUCAUAUAUGUAUAUAUUGAAUCCUGUGUAAACGGAUGAUCGAUACUAUUGUUUUUUACUUGGGAUAUAAGGUGAAUUCUACACUGAUGGAAUUUCGUUCUA